UACGGGGGGUGCGAGCGUUGUCCGGAUUUAUUGGGCGUAAAGAGCUCGUAGGCGGCUUGUUGCGUCGACUGUGAAAACCCACGGCUCAACUGUGUGGUCUGCAGUCGAUACGGGCAAGCUAGAGUUCGGUAGGGGAGACUGGAAUUCCUGGUGUAGCGGUGAAAUGCGCAGAUAUCAGGAGGAACACCGGUGGCGAAGGCGGGUCUCUGGGCCGAUACUGACGCUGAGGAGCGAAAGCGUGGGGAGCGAACAGG
Molecule: ribosomal RNA, 254 nt
Filed under: uncultured bacterium
Lineage: Bacteria
Description: partial 16S ribosomal RNA
Rfam family: Bacterial small subunit ribosomal RNA
Source: RNAcentral